RNAcentral lists this long non-coding RNA (575 nucleotides) under Glycine max (soybean). RNAcentral's name for it is "long non-coding RNA (GMAX_LNC004251)". The record is from RNAcentral. Lineage: Eukaryota; Viridiplantae; Streptophyta; Magnoliopsida; Fabales; Fabaceae.
UGAGAGUGAGACUACAAUGCUACUAUUGUGAUUGGUGAAAUCCCAUCAUUAGUAAAAUUUCCUCAUCUUCCCAGAGGACAAAGCUAUCUGUGAAUUGAGUCACCACGAAAGUCACCUUAGACAGAGAUUUUUUUUCCCCAUGAUAAAGUAAAAGGGACAUAGAUAAAUGAUAUCAACAUUUUCAAUGGUGGCAUAGGAAGAAUAACAUUUUACUUCUUCAAGUAACUAUAUCCUGUGUAAAGCUUGAGAUCAAAAUCAAAUAAGAUUAGCAGAAUAGAAUUGCAUGGGGGUCACAAAACACACAUGCACUUAUGUCUGCAGAACAAAUAUCAAUGCAUUAAAUGUGCAGAGUCCAAAUAACAAAAAAAAUUACUACAAACAAGAAAAAUAAAUGUAAGACAUCAAACCUCUUUUGCUUCUACUAUCUUGGUUUUCUGGUUUGGAGGUGCCAAAACCUUUUUUAUUAGAGUUUCAGCAACCUCUUGAGGGGACCCAAAUUCUGUAAUAUCCUGUUUGCCAGUUGGUAUCACAUUUACACUGACGUUCUCCAGUGGUUCAAUGACAUCUUUGAACAC